Molecule: microRNA precursor, 97 nt
Filed under: Urocitellus parryii (Arctic ground squirrel)
Lineage: Eukaryota; Metazoa; Chordata; Mammalia; Rodentia; Sciuridae
Also listed under: 1 other name
Description: Spermophilus parryii (Arctic ground squirrel) mir-544 microRNA precursor family
Rfam family: mir-544 microRNA precursor family
Source: Rfam by way of RNAcentral
AUCACCUGGGGAUCAUGUUAAAAUGCAGAUGCUGAUGUAGUAGAUCUAGAGAGGGCCCAAUAUUUUGCAUUUCUAACAAGCUCCCAGGUGAUGCUGA